RNAcentral lists this ribosomal RNA (253 nucleotides) under uncultured bacterium. RNAcentral describes it as "partial 16S ribosomal RNA". It matches the Rfam family "Bacterial small subunit ribosomal RNA", at positions 524 to 776 of the family's 1533-position model. The record is from RNAcentral.
UACGGAAGGGGCAAGCGUUGUUCGGAAUCAUUGGGCGUAAAGGGCGCGCAGGUGGUUCUGUAUGUCUACCGUGAAAGCGUACGGCUCAACCGUAUUUUGUCGGUAGAAACUGCAGGACUUGAGGCUGGGAGGGGCUGGUGGAAUUCCCUGUGUAGCGGUGAAAUGCGUAGAGAUGGGGGAGAACACUCGUGGCGAAGGCGACCAGCUAGACCAGUUCUGACACUGAGGCGCGACAGCGUGGGGAGCAAACAGG